AAUGACUUUUUUUUCUUUUUUUAAAGAAUGUGGGGGUUAAAAAGUAGGAAAAAAUUGUGGAUCUACAUUGCAAACUUAUUUUAUUGGAAGAACAUGUUAUUUGAAAUUAGUUCAGGAGAAUGAUUUUAAAAAGCUGUGCCAAACAAACCCUUAAUACCCUGCUGCAAGCUAGUAUAGAGCAGAAGCAUUCUCACUUCCUCCAAAGGCAAAAUGGAAACAAUAUUCAGUAGAAUGAUUAUGAAACGCUUAGAUGUACACUAGGCAUCCAGGACAUGACUUCACUUGCAUAGUUCUAUACCACCUACCACAUUGGUUUCACACCAGAAGCUAAUACUUCUGCUCUGUACACUUAGCUAACACUCAUUUAGCUUCUUCUUCUUCUUCUUUUUAUUUUUAUUUUUAUUUUUUAUUAUUUUUUAAGAGCUGUUCACUUCAUUAAAGUCUAGUUAAUUCUUCCACCAAUUGUUUCCUUCUCUUUUUUAUGGCACACAGUGGAGGUAAUAUUUGUUUAACGUUGUCUGAGCAAAAGAUGAAAAUUAUGAUGACUGCCAGUCUGCUACUCUGUUCAAAAUCUGGAUUCCAAUAGAGGCAAAAGGUACACAACCAAGUUGCUGCAUCGUUUUGUCUUGAGAAGUACAUGACUUGGUUUCCCAUUCAAUGUUGCACUAAACAUAACAGCUAAGCACUUUCCGGUCCAUAAAUAUACUGCUUGGAAUCAAUUAUUUCAUGUACUAAACAUAUCCAAAUUUAACAAGCCAAUCUUGGCAGCCUAUUGCACCUCACAAAUACACAAAUGCCACUCCAGAUAUAUUUACACGCUGGCAUUACAGACGACCAUACAAACAAAAAUUAAUAAUAUAUAUCAUGCAGAAAAAAGUGCACUUAUGAUUUUGCAGUUACAUGUUAGUUCUAUAUCACCCAAAUGGGACCAAUUUGAUGCAGAAACAACAUGUACCCCUUAGUGGAGCCCAUGAAGGGAUACAAUUUUUUACCCGAGCCCAACUACAAAAUAGCAACGCACAACUUACUACUUCAGACAUUAUCUCCACUCUCCGUGCAUAUAUUUGUUUCAGUCCAUUAGUUAACAUCUAAAUCUAUAUAGAUAUUUUCCGAAAAGUUCCUUCAAAUUGAAAUUCGGGCAUCUCCUAUCCAACUUCAAAAUGGCGUAAGACACCAAUUUGGUGUGAAAUAAUGCUCCAACAGGACUUCAAAUUUUCACAUCAAAUUAGAGUAAUAAACCAUGUUGCACGUUCAUUUGGUGUAAUAUAUACAAUUUAAUUAUUUCUCAUUUUGUUUCGUUUUAUAUUACAACAAAUUUUAAUGCCUAUUAUAUCAUUUUAUUAUUUAAUGAUUUAACUUUGUUUAUAUUUGUUUUAAUUUGAUUAUUAAUUUGAUUAACAUUUAUAAUAAACUGUAAUAAAGUAACAAAUAAUAAAUACAGAAUACACUAAAAUAAAAUUACCCAUUAAAAUUCAAAAGAUACAAAUUUGAUAAUUAUAAAUUAAAAAGAAAUUACCACUAAAACAACAUAACUAUUUUAAACUAAAAUUUAAAGUAAAAUACAACAUAAACUAAAACAAUAGUUUAGUAUUUGCUACAUCAUCGCUGGAUCCUUCAAGAUUAGUUGAACUUUAUGUUUGUUUGUGAAAGUUUUUAUACUAUAUGCAAUUUUAUAUAUUGUGAUAUUAAAUGUAAUUUUUUUUAUAUUGUGAUAUUAAGCAUAAUGCUUUUUAAAUGUAUUAUAAAUACAAUAUUUUAGCUAAUUAAAAGUAAUUUUUAAUUUGGUAAUUUAGCAAUAAUAGGAUGCGUAAUUAAAAAUAAUUUUUGAAGAAAAGGAUUUUAUUAUUAUUAUUAUUAUUUUUUUGGAGAUAGACUAAAUAAAAUUACGUGAAAGUCUUACCAUUUCGGUGAAAUGGAUUGGAGAUGGUCAUAUAAAAGUUUCACAGCCAAUUGUCAAAACCCAUAAAUCACAAUAACUCAAAAUUAAAAAUAAAUAAAACAGAAAUAGCUUAAUACUCAAAAUGGAACUGCCAUUAACUAAAUAUUAAGGAUUUUAUAAUAUAUCAAUAAAAAGCGAAAAUUUACUGAGCUGACUAACCAAGAGUUUGGAUCUUAGAUUUGAGUUGUUCUAUCAAAACAGACUCAGAGCCAUCCGAUCUGGGCACUUGGACAUCAUCGUCAACGCCGAAGAUUGUUUUAUCAGCAUCAGCAUCAACUCUGAUGUGGGUGAGGAUUAGGGAUAGAUAUACAAUAAAUAUGAACACUUUUAACGCCGCCAUAAUGCCACUAAUGGAGGCUCCGGCGCUCCUCCUACCUAAUUUUAAUUGGGAUUUUUUUGU
This 2339-nucleotide long non-coding RNA is filed under the name Olea europaea (common olive). Its description in RNAcentral is "long non-coding RNA (OEUR_LNC010087)". The record is from RNAcentral. Lineage: Eukaryota; Viridiplantae; Streptophyta; Magnoliopsida; Lamiales; Oleaceae.